UGGCAAAAUACAGGACUGACCUAAAAAGU
This 29-nucleotide non-coding RNA is filed under the name Mus musculus (house mouse). The record is from RNAcentral. Lineage: Eukaryota; Metazoa; Chordata; Mammalia; Rodentia; Muridae.